Molecule: ribosomal RNA, 254 nt
Filed under: uncultured prokaryote
Description: partial 16S ribosomal RNA
Rfam family: Bacterial small subunit ribosomal RNA
Source: RNAcentral
UACGUAGGAGGCAAGCGUUGCCCGGAAUUAUUGGGCGUAAAGCGCGCGCAGGCGGCCGUGUGCGGUCCCGCGUGGAAUCUCCCGGCUCAACCGGGAGGGGCCGUGGGAGACGGCGCGGCUGGAGUGGGGGAGGGGAGAGCGGAAUUCCCGGUGUAGUGGUGGAAUGCGUAGAGAUCGGGAGGAACACCCGUGGCGAAGGCGGCUCUCUGGACCCUGACUGACGCUGAGGCGCGAAAGCGUGGGGAGCGAUCCGG